UCUGCACACUGAAAAUCACUUGUCACUCAAUACAUAUGGAAUGAGUAAAUAAAGUUGGUAGGGUCUAAACUCAAGACCAUCUAGUCUGACCCCAGAACCUCUACUUCUAACCUUUCACAGCAAACACAGUGAAUAUUUUUUGCUUCUAAUAUAAAAGUAUUCUGUGUUUAAGUUUUACUAUUUAAUUUCCACAAGGGCAUAGGUCUUUUUAGUUAUAGCUCCCAAAUGUCUGGAACUAUUUUGAAUCACAUUAAGGGCAAUAAAUACACAAAUCAUUGGAAGAUGCAAUAAAAGUUGGCAGCAGCUGAAUAACAUUAUACCC
RNAcentral lists this long non-coding RNA (322 nucleotides) under Bos taurus (domestic cattle). Its description in RNAcentral is "long non-coding RNA NONBTAT020371". The record is from RNAcentral. Lineage: Eukaryota; Metazoa; Chordata; Mammalia; Artiodactyla; Bovidae.